AGAGUUNGAUCCUGGCUCAGAACGAACGCUGGCGGCGUGCUUAACACAUGCAAGUCGAACGCGAAAGGGACUUCGGUCCUGAGUAGAGUGGCGCACGGGUGAGUAACGCGUAGAUAACCUGUCCUUAUGUCUGGAAUAAUACGUCGAAAGGUGUACUAAUACCGGAUAUUCUUGCUUUUCAUAAGCUAGGCAAGCAAAGGUGGCCUCUGACAUAAGCUACUGCACAAGGAGGGGUCUGCGUACCAUUAGCUAGUAGGUGGGGUAAUGGCCCACCUAGGCGACGAUGGUUAACGGGUCUGAGAGGAUGAUCCGUCACACUGGCACUGGAACACGGGCCAGACUCCUACGGGAGGCAGCAGUGAGGAAUAUUGCGCAAUGGGGGCAACCCUGACGCAGCGACGCCGCGUGAGUGAGGAAGGCCUUCGGGUCGUAAAGCUCUGUCAAAGGGAAAGAAGUGUAUGGUGGUUAAUACCCAUCAUAUUUGACGGUACCCUUAAAGGAAGCACCGGCUAACUCCGUGCCAGCAGCCGCGGUAAUACGGAGGGUGCAAGCGUUGUUCGGAAUCACUGGGCGUAAAGGGCGCGUAGGCGGUUUGAUAAGUCAGAUGUGAAAGCCCACGGCUUAACCGUGGAAGUGCAUUUGAAACUGUCAGACUUGAGUACCAGAGGGGAAAGUGGAAUUCCCGGUGUAGAGGUGAAAUUCGUAGAUAUCGGGAGGAAUACCGGUGGCGAAGGCGACUUUCUGGCUGAGUACUGACGCUGAGGCGCGAAAGCGUGGGGAGCAAACAGGAUUAGAUACCCUGGUAGUC
RNAcentral lists this ribosomal RNA (808 nucleotides) under uncultured bacterium. Its description in RNAcentral is "bacterial SSU rRNA". It matches the Rfam family "Bacterial small subunit ribosomal RNA", at positions 8 to 795 of the family's 1533-position model. The record is from RNAcentral.